GUUGGUGUUUCAUUGUUUUACGUAAGGUCGCUAUUAGUUGGAACUGACUGAACAGCACCUAACAAUAGCAACAGCAGCACAAACUUAAGGUUAAGCCUUUUAAAAACAUCAAGUGCCUGAUAUGGGAGCCCCUCAGGUAGUAGACUCUGUGGGAAGGAGGCCUAAAGUCAGGCCCAUGUCGUGCUUCUUUGGUUCUGGGGCCGGUUUUCAGAGACAGAACCCACAGUUCAGUAUAGAGCCAGGCUUGGAACACAUCAGAAGUCCAGAUGGGAAGAAGCCAAGGUGAUUGUGAGCCCCAGGAAGUAGGUACCAGAGGGUUCGAUUACUGCCAGCGGACCCCCUUCACAGGAGCCGCAGCCCUAGGAGGUCUCCCCAAUACCUCACGACCCCUCCGUGGGACACCCCCGCCAGCUUCCCCCACGACCGGAAAUGCCUCGCGGCGAUCGGAAGCCCAGCGCCGACGAGGCUUCUGGGAGCUGUAGUUCCCCCAGACUCCAGACGCUCACACGCAGUUUCGAACUUGCAGCCGAGUCCUCCUGUCUUCAGCCCCACUCUCCGCCCCGGGCUAAUCCCACAGCACCUAUAGCUGCGGACCAGGUUUGCCCUGGAGCUCUUCAGCUGCGGAUCCCGAGAGGCGGUGCUGUCUGCUCUAAGCUGCGUCCACUUUCUGCAGAGCCAGGGAUGGCGCUGGAGGGGGUGGCUAGCACCGGAUUAAUCAGGAAUGUGCUGUUCCAGCGUCAGUGUCCUUCAGGGACGUGGCUGUGGGCUUCACCCUGGAGGAGUGGCAGCAGUUGGACCCUGCACAGAGGACCCUCUACAGUGAUGUGAUGCUGGAAAACUACAGCCACCUGGUCGCUGUGGGGUGUCAAGUCACCAAACCAGCUGUCAUCUCCAGGUUGGAGCAGGGGGAAGAACCAUGGAUGGAAGUGGAAGAGAUCCUUGGGUGGAGCCUUCCAGAAGUUCAGCAAGUUGAUGACCAAGUUAAUAGACAACAGGAACACCAAGGCAAACUUUUGAAGCAAGUUGCAUUCUUAGACAAGAAAAUAUUGACCAAAGAGAUGCACCAUGAAAGUAAUGCACUUAGAAGAAUAUUCUGUCUGAAGACAAAUCUUGUUCCUUCAAGAUAACAAGCCCUUGAAUGUAACUCAUAUGGAAAGGGUUUGGAAUGUAAUGUAGACUUACUUAGUCCAAACAGGUAUCUUGCAAGAAAGAAAUUUGAGUAUGAUAGACAUGGGAACUUAUUUCUCUUUUCUAAGCUAGAAAAUGCACAUUCCAGAAUGCAUCCUUGUGAAUGUAAUCAAUGUAGAAAAGCUUCAAGCCAAGUUCUUAAUAUAGACCAGGUAACUGAGAGUGGUAAGAAACUCCAUGAAUGUACCAAAUGUGGGAAAGCCUUUUCCCACAGAUCAGAACUCAUUGUACAUCAUAGGGGUCAUAGAGAUGGGAAAUCCUUCACAUGGCGUGAACAUGGGAAUGGCUUAAGGGAGAAGUUUUGCCUCAAUAAACCUCAGAGAAAUCACACAGGAGAGAAACUCAGUGGAAACAAUUGUGGUAAAACAUUUGUUUUACCUGGAAGACAAGCCUGUCUGUACCUGAGACAAUUCAUGCUGGGGAGAAACCUUAUAAGUGUUCUGAAUGUGAGAAAACCUUCUCCCACAACUCACGUCUCAUAGAACAUCAUAGAUCUCAUACAGGAGAGAAACCUUAUGGAUGCAGAGAAUGUGGGAAAUCUUUCUCCCGGAAGUCAUGCCUCAUUAUACAUUAUAGAAUCCACACAAGAGAGAAGCCCUUUUCAUGCAGUGAAUGUGGGAAAGCCUUCUUCCAGAAGUCACACCUCAUUCUACAUCAGAGGACUCAUACAGGAGAGAAGCCCUACGAGUGCAGUGAGUGUGGGAAAUUUUUCUCCCAGAACUCAUGCCUUAUUAUACACCAGAGAACUCAUAUGGGCAAGAGACCCUAUGAAUGCUCUGACUGUGGGAAAACUUUCUCCCAGAAGGCAAAUCUCAUUAGACACCAUAGAAUUCACACUAGGGAUAAACUCUAUGGAUGAAGUGAGAGGGAAAAUCUGUCAAGAGGUCACAAUACAGCUAGAAAUGAAAAAUUAUGGAUAUUCUGGAUGUGUAAGAGCUUUCAGCAGGAAAUCUGAUGCCACCGUAUGCAGAGAUUAAUACCUAGAUGAAAUUCUACCAAUUUAGUUUUUUUUUAGUGAACUAGGAAAAAUACAUUCUCUUAAAACUUGGUGUAUAAUUUCUUAGGGCUGCUGUAACAAAAUACCAGAAAAACAGAAAUGCAUAGUCUUACAAUUUUGGAGGCUACGAGUCCAAAUUCAUGGUGUCAACAGGACCAUGCUGUCUCUGUCUACUCUAAGGAAAAAUUCUUCCUUGUCUCCCAGCUCCUGGUAGCCCCAAGUGUUUCUUGAGGUUCCUUGACUUGUAGAUGCAUCUUUGCAUAGCUGUCUUCCCCCGUGUGUCUCUGUGUACGUUCUCCUCUUUCAUAAGGACAGCACUCAAGUUGGAUUAAGACCCCCUUACUCUGGUGUGACCUCACGUUAACUGGUAUCUUCAAAGACCCUGCUUCUAAACACAGUCACGUGCACAGGUACUAGGGGUUAGCUUUUCAAUGUAUAUGUUUGAGGGACACAGUUCAAUCCACAACAGAAGGAUAAUGAUGCUCUAGAGUGAUGUUAUUCUUACAGAUUAUAUUUAAUUGUAAAGGGUAUCUAUAUUCACUGUGGAUAGUAAGCUUUUUAAUAUGUGACUAAAUUAAAUCAUUAAGACAAUAGAUCUAAUAAGCAUCAGAAAAAUUCCAGAGACAUAUAAGAGUUAUGUUCCUGAGUAUGCUGCAUAAAAACAAUUUUUUAUCUUUGGAACUGUAUUAACUGAACAUAAUUGUGAAUUUGUAGACACACCAUAAUAUAUGGAAUGACAUUUACUAAGAUCUCCUACAGUAAAUUAUAUACCCUUUUGUCUUUGAAAUGCUCAUUAUAACUGGAACAAUAUUAAUUAUUAAACAAGAAGUCCAAAUAUAGUGCCACAUUCCAUUUCUCGCUUUUAUCACAUCCUCUGAUAUCUCUCAAUCAGCUAGCUUCUAAGUUUUGUUUACAUUUAUAUUAAGUACGUAAGGUUAAGACUUCCUGUUAUGAAAAUAUGGUAGACUAAUGUGAAAACUUGUCCACUAUAAACAACUACAGAUAAUGGACGAUAGAAGACUAAUAUUCUUUUAAAUGUAUAAUGCAUCUUACAAGAGAAUAAGAGAAGCGUUCAGGUGCCAACUAUGUAGAGGGAAUGGAAAACCAGAGAUAAAGUUUGUGACUUGACGCUGUAGCUGCCCUCCAAGUUUGGUUUUGUUUACCCAGAAGCUCGGGCAUUAAGGGCUACAGGAGGACAACAAACAGAGCCUUGGGCCCACACAAGGCAGGGAACUGACAUAGAAAUAACUAGUGAAUUCAUGUCUUAGUCAUCUAAUGCAACUAUAAGAGGAAUACCACGAGUGGUUGACUUUAACAAAGAGAAAUUUAUUUUCUCACAGUCUAGUAGGCUAGAAGUCCAAAUUCAGGGUGUCAACUCCAGGCAAAGGCUCGCUCUGUCUCUCUGUUGGCUCUGGAAGAAAGUCUUCAUCAGUCUUCAUCUGGACUGGUAGCUUCUCCACACAGGAAUCCCAGGUCCACAGGAUGUGCUCUGCUUCUAGCAGCCUCUUUUUUGGUGGUAAGAGGUAAGCCCUCUCUGCUCACUUCCCUUUCCUUUUAUCUCUUGUAAGAUAAAAGGUGGUGUGAGCCACACCGCAGGAAAACUCCUUUUAUAUGGGAUCAGGGAUGUGGCCUUAGUAAGGGUGUUACAAUCCUACCCUAGUCCUCUUUAACAUAAAAUUACAAUCACAAAUUGGAGGACAGCCACACAAUACUGGAAAUCAUGGUCUUAUCAAGUUGACACAUCUUUUUGGGGUAUACGAUUCAAUCCAUGACAAUUCAUAAUUUUCAAAAUUCUGCACAUUUAGGGAAAAGGUGAACUAGAAAAAAAUCUCCUUUGCACAGGAAGUUUUUUCUCACUGAGCUGUGGGUAGAGAAAGAGUUCACUCUGAUGAUUCCUAAGCACUGACCUGCAUCUCACAUGAUUUUGAAUUUACCCUAUUCAUGUGUUCCUGGUCUUUGAAACAAUUUACAGGAGCAAAUACAAAAUAUUUUUGGACUGAGACACUGUUAACCCAUAUUUCUCAGGAUUCUGACAUACAAAUCCAGGAUGAGUUCAUAAUCCAAAAUUACAGAAUACUUGAGGAAACAAACCACAGUUAAAGUCAACAGAUAUUUCAGCAAAAUAAGACCCCCAAGUACAUUAGGUAAUAGAAAAAUCUGAAAAUAUAUAAAAUACAUAUCUUUAAAAUUAUUAAAGACAAAGAAUUGAAACCAUGUGAAAGGAAGAUAAAAAGAUAAGUGGUUUGUUUGGAAAAUAGAGUGUCUAGAAAUGAAAAAUAUAGUCAUUAAAAUUUAAAACUCACUUAGCAUUAAAGCAUGCAAUGAACAUGUCAAACAGUACAUUAUACUCAGCUGAAGAGAAACUGGCAAAUAAGGAGAUAAAAAACAAAUAACCCAAACCCGUUGUUGAGUCAAUUCUGACUCAUAGCAAGCCUAUAGGACGGAGUAGAACUGUUUCCAUAGGGUUUCCAAGGAGCGGCUGGUGGAUUCGAACUGCCAACCUUUUUGGUUAAUAGCUGAGCUCUUUACCACUGUGCUACCUGGGCUCCAAACAAGAAGAUAGAGCUAAGCAAAUUACAAAGAAUUCAGUAUAUAGAGAGAAAUGCAAAAUAUAAAAGAAUGGGUGAGAAAUAUAUAGAUUAAAAUGAGUAGAGCAAACAGUUUUAAUACGAGUGCCAAAAACUCAAAAUAGAGAAAAUUGAAGAAAAGCAAAUACUCAAAGAUACAACGGCUCAGAUUUCACAAAGACCUGAGUUAUCGCAUUUACUAGUUGCUGUCAAGUCAAUUUUGACUCAUGGUUACCCUGUGUGUGUCAGAGUAGAACUGUACUCCAUAGUGUUUUCAGUAGCUGUGAUCUUUCGGAAGUAGAUUUCCAGGCCUUUCUUCUGAGGCACCUCUGUGUGGAUUCAAACUGCUAACCUUUUGGUUAGUAGCCAAGCACUUGACCAUUUGCACCAUUCAGGAACUUAACAGGUUUAGGCAGCAUGCUAUAUGCCUAGCUGGAUAAAUAAACGGAUUUACACCUAGGUACGUAUCAGAAUUCUAAAGACAAAGAUCUUAAAAACAACAGAGAAAAGACAGAUAUCCUACACAGAAAUAAACCGAAGCCAACUUUUCACCAACACAAUAGAAGUCAGAAGUCUUUGGAAUAUGAUUGUCAAAGUGAUGGAAUAAAUAUAAUAGGUCGAUCUAGAAUAACUUUAUUAGGGAUAAACAGGAUCACUUCAUAGGGAUUAUAAAACCAGUUUACUACAGAGAUGUAAAAAUUCAAAAGUUGUAUGUACCCAAACACAUGGCCUGAAAAAACAAAAGGCAAAAUUUGAAAGAUUAGAAUUGACAGACAAAUCCGCAGUCAUAGCAAGCUAUUCUUAACACACUUCCCAGUAAUUGAUGGAUAAAGCAGAAAAGAAUAACUUUGAACAAUACAAUUAACAAACUUGGUUAAACAGGGAAUGCACAUUCUUUUUUUUAAUUGUGCUUUAGGUUAAGGUUUACAGCUCAAGUUAGUUUCUCAUACAAAAUUUUAUACACAUAUUCUUAUGUGACCGUAUUUGUUAUCCUUAUAAUGUGACCACACAUUCCUCCUUUCCUCCCUGGAUUUCCCAUGUCCUUUCAAUCAGCUUCUAUCCGCUUCUGCCUUCUCAUCUCACCUACUGACGGUAGCUGCCCAUUUAGUCUCAAGUAUCUACUUGAACUAAGAAGCACACUCUUCACGAGUAUCAUUUCAUGUCUUACAGUCCAGUCUAUUCUUUGUCUGAAGGAUUGGCUUCAGGAAUGGUUUUAGUUCUGGGUUAACAGAGAGUCCGGGGGCCAUGUCUUCUUGGUUUCCUCCAGUCUCAGUCAGACCAUUAAGUCUGGUCUUUUUACUAGAAUUUGAGUUCUGCACCCCACUUUUCUCCUGCUCCAUCAGGGACUCUCUGUUGUGUUCCCUGUCAGGGCAGUCAUUGGUGGUAGCUGGGCACCAUCUAGUUCUUCUAGUCUCAGGCUGAUAGAGUCUCUGGUUUAUGUACCCCCUUUUGU
Molecule: long non-coding RNA, 6205 nt
Organism: Loxodonta africana (African savanna elephant)
Lineage: Eukaryota; Metazoa; Chordata; Mammalia; Proboscidea; Elephantidae
Exons: 4
Source: RefSeq, a predicted model, not a curated record